GGCAUAUUUUCUCGCGCCUAUACAUGCUGUCGAGCGGACAGAUGGGAGCUUGCUCCCUGAUGUUAGCGGCGGACGGGUGAGUAACACGUGGGUAACCUGCCUGUAAGACUGGGAUAACUCCGGGAAACCGGGGCUAAUACCGGAUGGUUGUUUGAACCGCAUGGUUCAAACAUAAAAGGUGGCUUUGGCUACCACUUACAGAUGGACCCGCGGCGCAUUAGCUAGUUGGUGAGGUAACGGCUCACCAAGGCAACGAUGCGUAGCCGACCUGAGAGGGUGAUCGGCCACACUGGGACUGAGACACGGCCCAGACUCCUACGGGAGGCAGCAGUAGGGAAUCUUCCGCAAUGGACGAAAGUCUGACGGAGCAACGCCGCGUGAGUGAUGAAGGUUUUCGGAUCGUAAAGCUCUGUUGUUAGGGAAGAACAAGUACCGUUCGAAUAGGGCGGUACCUUGACGGUACCUAACCAGAAAGCCACGGCUAACUACGUGCCAGCAGCCGCGGUAAUACGUAGGUGGCAAGCGUUGUCCGGAAUUAUUGGGCGUAAAGGGCUCGCAGGCGGUUUCUUAAGUCUGAUGUGAAAGCCCCCGGCUCAACCGGGGAGGGUCAUUGGAAACUGGGGAACUUGAGUGCAGAAGAGGAGAGUGGAAUUCCACGUGUAGCGGUGAAAUGCGUAGAGAUGUGGAGGAACACCAGUGGCGAAGGCGACUCUCUGGUCUGUAACUGACGCUGAGGAGCGAAAGCGUGGGGAGCGAACAGGAUUAGAUACCCUGGUAGUCCACGCCGUAAACGAUGAGUG
Molecule: ribosomal RNA, 800 nt
Filed under: Bacillus tequilensis
Lineage: Bacteria; Bacillati; Bacillota; Bacilli; Caryophanales; Bacillaceae
Description: bacterial SSU rRNA
Rfam family: Bacterial small subunit ribosomal RNA
Source: RNAcentral